UUCUUAUCGAGAGAGGCAGAGGGACUGGCCCGAUGAUGCCCGGCAACCUGAAUAUAGAAUAUUCAACGGUGCCAAUUCCAGCAGGUAAUAAAACCUGGUAGAUGAGAG
This 108-nucleotide non-coding RNA is filed under the name Clostridium tyrobutyricum. Its description in RNAcentral is "SAM-I sequence". It matches the Rfam family "SAM riboswitch aptamer (S box leader)". From Rfam's summary of the family: The SAM riboswitch is found upstream of a number of genes which code for proteins involved in methionine or cysteine biosynthesis in Gram-positive bacteria. The SAM riboswitch acts at the level of transcription termination control. RNAcentral also lists the same sequence under 1 other name. The record is from RNAcentral. Lineage: Bacteria; Bacillati; Bacillota; Clostridia; Eubacteriales; Clostridiaceae.